RNAcentral lists this ribosomal RNA (461 nucleotides) under uncultured bacterium. Its description in RNAcentral is "partial 16S ribosomal RNA". It matches the Rfam family "Bacterial small subunit ribosomal RNA", at positions 29 to 507 of the family's 1533-position model. The record is from RNAcentral.
ACGAACGCUGGCGGCGUGCUUAACACAUGCAAGUCGAGCGGAAAGGCCCUUCGGGGUACUCGAGCGGCGAACGGGUGAGUAACACGUGAGUAACCUGCCCCCGACUUUGGGAUAACCCUCGGAAACGGGGGCUAAUACCGGAUACGACACAGCUUCGCAUGGGGUCUGUGUGGAAAGUUUUUCGGUUUGGGAUGGGCUCGCGGCCUCUCAGCUUGUUGGUGGGGUGAUGGCCUACCAAGGCGACGACGGGUAGCCGGCCUGGGAGGGCGACCGGCCACACUGGGACUGAGACACGGCCCAGACGCCUACGGGAGGCAGCAGUGGGGAAUAUUGCACAAUGGGCGGAAGCCUGAUGCAGCGACGCCGCGUGAGGGAUGACGGCCUUCGGGUUGUAAACCUCUUUCAGCAGGGACGAAGCGUAAGUGACGGUACCUGCAGAAGAAGCGCCGGCCAACUACGUG